UACGGAGGAUCCAAGCGUUAUCCGGAUUUAUUGGGUUUAAAGGGUGCGUAGGCGGCCUGUUAAGUCAGGGGUGAAAGACGGUAGCUCAACUAUCGCAGUGCCCUUGAUACUGAUGGGCUUGAAUGGACUAGAGGUAGGCGGAAUGAGACAAGUAGCGGUGAAAUGCAUAGAUAUGUCAUAGAACACCGAUUGCGAAGGCAGCUUGCUGGACCUGUAUUGACGCUGAGGCACGAAAGCGUGGGGAGCAAACAGG
RNAcentral lists this ribosomal RNA (253 nucleotides) under uncultured prokaryote. Its description in RNAcentral is "partial 16S ribosomal RNA". It matches the Rfam family "Bacterial small subunit ribosomal RNA", at positions 524 to 776 of the family's 1533-position model. The record is from RNAcentral.